Molecule: ribosomal RNA, 468 nt
Filed under: uncultured bacterium
Lineage: Bacteria
Description: partial 16S ribosomal RNA
Rfam family: Bacterial small subunit ribosomal RNA
Source: RNAcentral
GACGAACGCUGGCGGCGUGCUUAACACAUGCAAGUCGAACGGAAAGGCCCUGCUUUUGUGGGGUGCUCGAGUGGCGAACGGGUGAGUAACACGUGAGUAACCUGCUCUUGACUUUGGGAUAACUUCAGGAAACUGGGGCUAAUACCGGAUAGGAGCUCCUGCUGCAUGGUGGGGGUUGGAAAGUUUCGGCGGUUGGGGAUGGACUCGCGGCUUAUCAGCUUGUUGGUGGGGUAGUGGCUUACCAAGGCUUUGACGGGUAGCCGGCCUGAGAGGGUGACCGGCCACAUUGGGACUGAGAUACGGCCCAGACUCCUACGGGAGGCAGCAGUGGGGAAUAUUGCACAAUGGACGGAAGCCUGAUGCAGCAACGCCGCGUGCGGGAUGACGGCCUUCGGGUUGUAAACCGCUUUCGCCUGUGACGAAGCGUGAGUGACGGUAAUGGGUAAAGAAGCACCGGCUAACUACGUG